Molecule: ribosomal RNA, 253 nt
Filed under: uncultured bacterium
Lineage: Bacteria
Description: partial 16S ribosomal RNA
Rfam family: Bacterial small subunit ribosomal RNA
Source: RNAcentral
UACGGAGGGUGCUAGCGUUAUUCGGAAUUACUGGGCGUAAAGCGCACGUAGGCGGCUUUGUAAGUAAGAGGUGAAAGCCUGGUGCUCAACACCAGAACUGCCUUUUAGACUGCAUCGCUUGAAUCAUGGAGAGGUGAGUGGAAUUCCGAGUGUAGAGGUGAAAUUCGUAGAUAUUCGGAAGAACACCAGUGGCGAAGGCGGCUCACUGGACAUGUAUUGACGCUGAGGUGCGAAAGCGUGGGGAGCAAACAGG